UAGGGAAUCUUCCGCAAUGGACGCAAGUCUGACGGAGCAACGCCGCGUGUGUGAAGAAGGUUUUCGGAUCGUAAAGCACUGUUAUUAGAGAAGAACAGCCGAUAGAGUAACUGUUAUCGGUUUGACGGUAUCUAACCAGAAAGUGACGGCUAACUACGUGCCAGCAGCCGCGGUAAUACGUAGGUCACAAGCGUUGUCCGGAUUUAUUGGGCGUAAAGGGAGCGCAGGCGGUUUGUUAAGUCUGAUGUGAAAGCCCACGGCUCAACCGUGGAACGGCAUUGGAAACUGGCAAACUUGAGUAUAGAAGAGGAAAGUGGAAUUCCAUGUGUAGCGGUGAAAUGCGUAGAUAUAUGGAGGAACACCAGUGGCGAAGGCGACUUUCUGGUCUAUAACUGACGCUGAGGCUCGAAAGCGUGGGGGAGCGAACAGGAUUAGAUACC
RNAcentral lists this ribosomal RNA (440 nucleotides) under uncultured bacterium. Its description in RNAcentral is "bacterial SSU rRNA". It matches the Rfam family "Bacterial small subunit ribosomal RNA", at positions 355 to 786 of the family's 1533-position model. The record is from RNAcentral.